GAUGAACGCUGGCUGCGUGCCUAAUACAUGCAAGUCGAGCGAACGGACGAGAAGCUUGCUUCUCUGAUGUUAGCGGCGGACGGGUGAGUAACACGUGGAUAACCUACCUAUAAGACUGGGAUAACUUCGGGAAACCGGAGCUAAUACCGGAUAAUAUUUUGAACCGCAUGGUUCAAAAGUGAAAGACGGUCUUGCUGUCACUUAUAGAUGGAUCCGCGCUGCAUUAGCUAGUUGGUAAGGUAACGGCUUACCAAGGCAACGAUGCAUAGCCGACCUGAGAGGGUGAUCGGCCACACUGGAACUGAGACACGGUCCAGACUCCUACGGGAGGCAGCAGUAGGGAAUCUUCCGCAAUGGGCGAAAGCCUGACGGAGCAACGCCGCGUGAGUGAUGAAGGUCUUCGGAUCGUAAAACUCUGUUAUUAGGGAAGAACAUAUGUGUAAGUAACUGUGCACAUCUUGACGGUACCUAAUCAGAAAGCCACGGCUAACUACGUGCCAGCAGCCGCGGUAAUACGUAGGUGGCAAGCGUUAUCCGGAAUUAUUGGGCGUAAAGCGCGCGUAGGCGGUUUUUUAAGUCUGAUGUGAAAGCCCACGGCUCAACCGUGGAGGGUCAUUGGAAACUGGAAAACUUGAGUGCAGAAGAGGAAAGUGGAAUUCCAUGUGUAGCGGUGAAAUGCGCAGAGAUAUGGAGGAACACCAGUGGCGAAGGCGACUUUCUGGUCUGUAACUGACGCUGAUGUGCGAAAGCGUGGGGAUCAAACAGGAUUAGAUACCCUGGUAGUCCACGCCGUAAACGAUGAGUGCUAAGUGUUAGGGGGUUUCCGCCCCUUAGUGCUGCAGCUAACGCAUUAAGCACUCCGCCUGGGGAGUACGACCGCAAGGUUGAAACUCAAAGGAAUUGACGGGGACCCGCACAAGCGGUGGAGCAUGUGGUUUAAUUCGAAGCAACGCGAAGAACCUUACCAAAUCUUGACAUCCUUUGACAACUCUAGAGAUAGAGCCUUCCCCUUCGGGGGGGCAAAGUGACAGGUGGUGCAUGGUUGUCGUCAGCUCGUGUCGUGAGAUGUUGGGUUAAGUCCCGCAACGAGCGCAACCCUUAAGCUUAGUUGCCAUCAUUAAGUUGGGCACUCUAAGUUGACUGCCGGUGACAAACCGGAGGAAGGUGGGGAUGACGUCAAAUCAUCAUGCCCCUUAUGAUUUGGGCUACACACGUGCUACAAUGGACAAUACAAAGGGCAGCGAAACCGCGAGGUCAAGCAAAUCCCAUAAAGUUGUUCUCAGUUCGGAUUGUAGUCUGCAACUCGACUACAUGAAGCUGGAAUCGCUAGUAAUCGUAGAUCAGCAUGCUACGGUGAAUACGUUCCCGGGUCU
Molecule: ribosomal RNA, 1373 nt
Filed under: uncultured bacterium
Lineage: Bacteria
Description: bacterial SSU rRNA
Rfam family: Bacterial small subunit ribosomal RNA
Source: RNAcentral